Molecule: ribosomal RNA, 240 nt
Filed under: uncultured bacterium
Lineage: Bacteria
Description: partial 16S ribosomal RNA
Rfam family: Bacterial small subunit ribosomal RNA
Source: RNAcentral
AGCGGCGGACGGGUGAGUAACGCGUGGGUAACCUGCCUCAUACAGGGGGAUAACAGUUGGAAACGGCUGCUAAUACCGCAUAAGCGCACAGUACCGCAUGGUACGGUGUGAAAAACUCCGGUGGUAUGAGAUGGACCCGCGUCUGAUUAGCUAGUUGGUGGGGUAACGGCCUACCAAGGCGACGAUCAGUAGCCGGCCUGAGAGGGUGAACGGCCACAUUGGAACUGAGACACGGUCCAA